RNAcentral lists this ribosomal RNA (497 nucleotides) under uncultured bacterium. RNAcentral describes it as "partial 16S ribosomal RNA". It matches the Rfam family "Bacterial small subunit ribosomal RNA", at positions 28 to 507 of the family's 1533-position model. The record is from RNAcentral.
GAUGAACGCUGGCGGCGUGCCUAAUACAUGCAAGUCGAGCGAACAGACCAUGAUCUUGCUCCUCUCACGUUAGCGGCGCACGUGUGAGUAACGCGUGUAUAACCUACCUAUAAUAGUGAGAUAACUUCGGGAAACCGGAUCUAAUACCGGAUAAUAUAUUGAACCACGGUGUGCGAUGGUGAAAGACGGUUUUUCUGUCACGUCUAGCUGCAUCCGGGCCGCAUUAGAUGGUUGGUAAGGUAACGGCUUAGGAAGGCAACGAUGCGUAGGCGACGUGAGAGAGUGAUCGGCGACAUGGGAAGUGGGACGGGGUCAAGACGCCUAAGGGAGGCAGCAGACGGGAACCGUCAGCAAUGGGCGAAAGCAUGACGGAGCAAGGCCGCGUGAGUGAUGAAGGUCUCCGGAUCGUAAAAAUGGGUUACUAGUUAAGAACAAAUGUGUAAGUAAAUAUGCCCGUCUUGACGGUAAUUAAUAAGAAAGCACCGGCUAACUACGUG